AGUUUGUUGUGUUUUAUAACAAAUAGUUUCUGCCCGGUGUUAUUUUGUAAUAAACGGCCGCGGUAGCCUGACCGUGCGAAGGUAGCGUAAUCAUUUGCUCUUUAAUUAAGGGCCUGUAUGAAAGAAAGUUUGAGAUUUUUUCUGUCUUUUUCUAAGGUUAAAAUUUGCUGUUUUUGUGAGGAAGCAAAAUUUUGUUAAAAAGACAAGAAGACCCUUUUAAGCUUUAUUCUUUAUUAGUUGCCUUCUUUGUUUCUUCGUUUUGCUGUAAAAUAUUGUGGUUGGCGUCUUUAAGGUUUUGGUUGGGGUGACCGAAGAAGAGAAAAUCUUCUUUGUUUUUUUAAGCUGUGGGCUGAAAAGUGACCCAAUAUUUUUUGGUUGAAAAAACUAGUUACUAAAGGGAUAACAGCGUAAUCUUUUCAGAGAGUUCAUAUCGAAGAAAGGGAUUGCGACCUCGAUGUUGACUUAUUAUGUCCUUUAAAGGUGUAGGGGCCUAAAGGGUUGGUCUGUUCGACCAUUAAAAUAGU
Molecule: ribosomal RNA, 524 nt
Filed under: Lineidae sp. Pili_CB035_CBdT0004
Lineage: Eukaryota; Metazoa; Nemertea; Pilidiophora; Heteronemertea; Lineidae
Description: partial 16S ribosomal RNA
Rfam family: Bacterial large subunit ribosomal RNA
Source: RNAcentral